AGCGAAUAUGAUGAAAUGGUAAACAUACGGUUCUUAGGAAGCCGUGCCAAUAAAGGCUUGUGAGUUCAAGUCUCACUAUUCGUA
This 84-nucleotide transfer RNA is filed under the name Puccinia triticina. RNAcentral's name for it is "tRNA-Leu". It matches the Rfam family "tRNA". Rfam says of the family: Transfer RNA (tRNA) molecules are approximately 80 nucleotides in length. Their secondary structure includes four short double-helical elements and three loops (D, anti-codon, and T loops). The record is from RNAcentral. Lineage: Eukaryota; Fungi; Basidiomycota; Pucciniomycetes; Pucciniales; Pucciniaceae.